Molecule: ribosomal RNA, 160 nt
Filed under: uncultured bacterium
Lineage: Bacteria
Description: partial 16S ribosomal RNA
Rfam family: Bacterial small subunit ribosomal RNA
Source: RNAcentral
AAGUUAGAGGUGAAAUCCCAGGGCUCAACCCUGGACUGCCUUUUAAAACUGCUAGUCUUGAGUUCGAGAGAGGUGAGUGGAAUUCCAAGUGUAGAGGUGAAAUUCGUAGAUAUUUGGAGGAACACCAGUGGCGAAGGCGGCUCACUGGCUCGAUACUGAC